Molecule: non-coding RNA, 112 nt
Organism: Acanthosepion pharaonis
Lineage: Eukaryota; Metazoa; Mollusca; Cephalopoda; Sepiida; Sepiidae
Source: the annotation of a GenBank genome assembly
UUACGGCCACAUUCACGUUGAAACGCCGGUUUGCGUACAAUCAACAAAGUUAAGCAACUUUGAGCCUGCUCAAUUCCUAGAUGGGUGACCGCCUGGGAAUACCAAGUGAUGU